Brienomyrus brachyistius is the source of this 1025-nucleotide long non-coding RNA. RefSeq lists it as uncharacterized. The transcript has 3 exons. The record is from RefSeq and is a predicted model, not a curated record. NCBI's taxonomy places the organism in Eukaryota, Metazoa, Chordata, Actinopteri, Osteoglossiformes, Mormyridae.
UUAAGGGGAUAACGGACAGGGAGAAGAACGUUCUUAAAAGUCUUAAAGUAAACAGAGGGCUGGGGGAAAAACUGACACAAAAUUAGCAACGGAACUAAAUCAAGAAAUAGUGUUCAUGUCUCAUAUAUCCUCAGUAAAUAUCACAGAUGGUCUUCAUGUCAUUUAAACAAGCUGGCAAGAUGAGAGAGAGCAAGACUGAAAGCUCCGCAGGUUAAUGAUUUGACGACGCCCCCCUCAUUUCAUGGGAGGUCCCAUCUCGUCUCAGGCUACAGCAGCCCCCAUCAUGCAGCACGGAAACACUUCCUGCUUUCCCAGGCUGCCUCUUAUUGGUGGAGCCCCCAGCUGGGAGGGACCAAUCAGGAGGCAGGGACUGAGGCACAGCAUAGCGACAGGAAUCUUGCAAAACAAGGAACCUCGCAAGAAAGAGAAAUCGUGGUGUUUUAAAACCACGGGUCAGUAGUGGCAAGCAGGCCCUCGUUUUUACUUGCUAAGCAAAUCGCAAAGAAAAAGGAAAUGUUACAGCCUUCUGUAAAAACAAACUUCUGUUUAGCUACAAAGAAACUUUGGCAGAGGGACUGAAGAAAAAAAAGAUUUUGGAAAAUUUAGCCCAGAGGGCCAGGGCUGAAAUUGCAACGUCUCAGUCAGGUAGCUUCUGAUUGGCUCGCUUGCCAGGAAAACUCCACAAUAUACUAACAGGUUGUUAUCUCAGGGAAAAGGAAGAGGACUGACUGCCUGGCAGUGAGGACCCCACAGUGACAAAGUGACAGCGAAGAGAGGAUGUGCCAUCGGAGAGUCUUCGUAAUCCUGAAGCAAGGAAUCAUAUGGACGCAACUGAUGCACAAUUGAAGUUCAUUUGCAUCGCUGAGAAGAGCCUUCACAAAUCUGGGAUGACAGUAUAUUACCAAGGAGCAAAUGACUCUCGGUGCCAAAUUUUUUAUAUAUAAUGCAAAUUUUUCAUUUAGGAUAUUUACAUUUUUUUUGACAUUCCAGGUCUAAAUGUCUGAAUAUUCUUAAGAAUUAAAACU